UGAAUUCAACCAAUUGACUUAGACUUUC
RNAcentral lists this non-coding RNA (28 nucleotides) under Drosophila melanogaster (fruit fly). The record is from RNAcentral. Lineage: Eukaryota; Metazoa; Arthropoda; Insecta; Diptera; Drosophilidae.